RNAcentral lists this ribosomal RNA (395 nucleotides) under uncultured bacterium. Its description in RNAcentral is "bacterial SSU rRNA". It matches the Rfam family "Bacterial small subunit ribosomal RNA", at positions 30 to 428 of the family's 1533-position model. The record is from RNAcentral.
AUUGAACGCUGGCGGCAUGCCUUACACAUGCAAGUCGAACGGCAGCACGGGGGCAACCCUGGUGGCGAGUGGCGAACGGGUGAGUAACAUAUCGGAACGUGCCCUGGAGUGGGGGAUAACUAGUCGAAAGACUAGCUAAUACCGCAUACGAUCUACGGAUGAAAGUGGGGGAUCGCAAGACCUCAUGCUCGUGGAGCGGCCGAUAUCUGAUUAGCAGUUGGUGGGGUAAAGGCCUACCAAGGCAUCGAUCAGUAGCUGGUCUGAGAGGACGACCAGCCACACUGGGACUGAGACACGGCCCAGACUCCUACGGGAGGCAGCAGUGGGGAAUUUUGGACAAUGGGCGCAAGCCUGAUCCAGCAAUGCCGCGUGAGUGAAGAAGGCCUCGGUUGUAA